CUGGCGGCGUGCUUCAUACAUGCAAGUCGAGCGGGGUACGGCGGGUGGCUUGCCACCUGUCGUUACUCAGCGGCGAACGGGUGAGUAACACGUGGGCAACCUACCCAUGAGACGGGGAUAACCCCGGGAAACUGGGGCUAAUACCGGAUGUGGUGUGGAUCGCGUAUGCGGUUUGCAUCAAAGGGGGGCCUCUCCUUGGAAGCUCCCGCUUGUGGAUGGGCCCGCGUCCCAUUAGCUAGUUGGUGAGGUAAGGGCUCACCAAGGCGACGAUGGGUAGCCGGCCUGAGAGGGUGUACGGCCACACUGGGACUGAGACACGGCCCAGACUCCUACGGGAGGCAGCAGUAGGGAAUAUUGCGUAAUGGGGGAAACCCUGAGGCAGCGACGCCGCGUGGGUGAUGAAGGCCUUCGGGUUGUAAAGCUCUGUUGAGGGGGAAGAUAGUGACGGUACCCCUUCAGAAAGCCCCGGCUAACUACGUGCCAGCAGCCGCGGUAAGACGUAGGGGGCGAGCGUUGUCCGGAAUUACUGGGCGUAAAGGGCGUGUAGGCGGCAUUCCAAGUCAGCUGUGAAAUUCCCCGGCUCAACCGGGGGUCUGCAGUUGAUACUGCUAGUCUAGAGUACAGUUGAAGUGGGCGGAAUGUAGCAUGUAGCGGUGAAAUGCAUAGAUAUGCUACAGAACACCGAUAGCGAAGGCAGCUCACUAAGCUGUAACUGACGCUNANGCACGAAAGCGUGGGGAUCAAACAGGAUUAGAUACCCUGGUAGUCCACGCUGUAACGAUGAUCACUCGUUGUUGGCGAUACACAGUCAGCGACUGAAC
RNAcentral lists this ribosomal RNA (821 nucleotides) under uncultured bacterium. RNAcentral describes it as "bacterial SSU rRNA". It matches the Rfam family "Bacterial small subunit ribosomal RNA", at positions 36 to 852 of the family's 1533-position model. The record is from RNAcentral.